GAGGCACAGGAUGCGCUGGAAAGAGCGCUUGAAGUUGUCCGACAGGAAGCCGUAGAGGAUGGGGUUGGCACAGCUAUUGGCAUAGCCGAGGAUGACAGACAACUGGCUCACCGUGGCGUCGUCUUGCUCGGCGAACACGUUGACUAGCUGUACCACGUAGAAAGGCAUCCAGCAGAUGACAAAAACCAUCACCACCAUCAUCACCAUUAGAGUGAUCUUGCGCUCUGAGCGCUUGCGCUGCUGCCAGCCGGCCUUGAGGGCCACCAUGCGCAUCUUGGCAAUGAUGAGCACGUAACACAGGCAGAUGGCCCCGACAGGCAGCAGGAAGCCCAUGAGAAAUGUGUAUAAGACGAAGCCCACCAACCAGCGCUGGGCGGGCUCGGGCAUGAGCAUGUUGCAGGCCACCGUGCCAUCGCUGUUGGCUGCGGUGCGUGAGAAGACCACGAUGGGCAAGAUAACCAGUAGCGACAGCACCCACACGCCCAGGUUCACUACUUUGGCCACAGUGGGCCGACGGUAGCGCGCUGCCUUGAUCGGGUGCACCACAGCCACAUAGCGGUCCACACUAAGCACAGUCAGACAGUAGAUGCUGGUGAACAUGUUGACUGCAUCC
This 613-nucleotide long non-coding RNA is filed under the name Rattus norvegicus (Norway rat). RNAcentral's name for it is "long non-coding RNA NONRATT025043". The record is from RNAcentral. Lineage: Eukaryota; Metazoa; Chordata; Mammalia; Rodentia; Muridae.